CAAAAAAACGACAGACAAACAAAAAACAGUGCUGUUGAGUGUGCAUUGAGACAGGCAUUUUCCAACACUGCCUUUCUGGAAGCAGGGAGGAGAGGCACAGAAAUUUCAGCAAGGGUAAAGUCUUCAUCCUGCAACCAUAUUUCUAGGAGUCUAGAUAAUUCGAUAUACAGGUAAAGUCACAGCAUUUAUUUAAUCAUGUUAAUUAGUUAUGUAACAUAUAAUAAAAUAAUAUUGUAUGUUAAUACAUAAUAUAAAUAUAUUAUGCUAAUACAUUGAUAUAUACACACUUAGUCCUUCUAUCUGUUACUAAAGGGAGCUCACGUGGCACCAACAAGGAAACACACACUUAGUCCUUCUAUCUGUUACUAAAGCGAGCUCACGUGACAUCAACAAGGAAACACACUUAGUCCUUCUAUCUGUUACUAAAGGGAGUUCACGUGACAUCAGCAAGGAAACACAGUCUUAUCUGUUACUAAAGCGAGCUCACGCGACAUCAACAAGGAAACACAGUUAGUCCUUCUAUCUGUUACUAAAGGGAGCUCACGAGACAUCAACAAGGAAACACAGUUAGUCCUUCUAUCUGUUACUAAAGGGAGCUCACGUGACAUCAACAAGGAAACACACUUAGUCCUUCCAUCUGUUACUACAGGGAGCUCACGUGACAUCAGCAAGGAAACACAGUACUAUCUGUUACUAAAGGGAGCUCACGUGACAUCAAAAACGAAACACACUUAGUCCUUCUAUCUGUUACUAAAGGGAGCUCACGCGACAUCAACAAGGAAACACAGUCCUUCUAUCUGUUACUAAAGGGAGCUCACGUGACAUCAACAAGGAAACAAACUUAGUCCUUCUAUCCGUUACUAAAGUGAGCUCAUGUGACAUCAACAAGGAAACACACUUAGUCCUUCUAUCUGUUACUAAAGGGAGUUCACGUGACCUCAGCAAGGAAACACAGUCUUAUCUGUUACUAAAGUGAGCUCACGUGACAUCAACAAGGAAACACACUUAGUCCUUCUAUCUGUUACUAAAGCGAGCUCACGCGAUAUCAACAAGGAAACACAGUCCUUCUAUCUGUUACUAAAGGGGGCUCACGUGACAUCAACAAGGAAACACACUUAGUCCUUCUAUCUGUUACUAAAGGGAGCUCACGUGACAUCAGCAAGAAAACACAGUCCUUCUAUCUGUUACUAAAGGUAGCUCACGUGACAUCAGCAAGGAAACACAGUCCUUCUAUCUGUUACUAAAGGGAGCUCACGUGACAUCAGCAAGGAAACACAGUCCUUCUGUCUGUUACUAAAGGGAGCUCACGCGACAUCAACAAGGAAACACAGACCUUCUAUCUGUUACUAAAGCGAGGUCACGUGACAUCAACAAGGAAACAUACAGUUAGUCCUUUGUAUCUGUGAUUUGUGCAUGUGCUGAUUCAAGCAGCCACGAGUCAAAAAUAUUUGCAAAAAAAGCCCUUUAAACUGUAUUGAACAUAUACAAAGUUUUUCUUUUUAUUAUUCUCUAAAUGACACAGUGUAACAACGAUUUGCAUAGCAUUUACAUUGUAGUAGGUGUUACCAGUAAUCUAGAGAUGAUUUAAAGUAUAGGGAGAAUGUGCAUAGUCUACGCUGAAUACUACACAACUGCAUAUCAGGGACUUGAGCGUCUAGGGAUUCUGGUAUCUGGGGGAGGUCCUGGAUCCAAUUUCUCAUGAAUAUCGACAGAUGACUGUAUGUUGUAUCUUGAUGCAAUGAAUAAACAAAGCAGAUAACAGUAACUGACAUGGGGUAGAAGGUGAGGGGAAAUGAAGGGGUUGCUAUUUAUAUGUUUACAUGGGAUGAACAGGGCAGACCCCACAGAGGGGAUAUUUAACAGAAGCUAAACGUACGAGAAGCAGUCCUGAGAACUGUAGACCAAGAGAGCUCGUGGUGGCCCUGGGAAGGGGCUUGUCAAAUCUCGUGGCCCCUAGGGGCUGGUGACUGUUAGCGGCUGGCCAACAGCCAGCUGCCGCCCUGAAAUCUACCACUGUCAGCCGGUAACCCACCAUGGUGGAGUAUAAAGGCAGGCCUGCUGCGAGGAGAUGAAAGACUCCUCUGCUGGGCAGCCUGGGCUGGAGGGUUCUACUACCAGCCUUGCCAAAAGUUUCUCAGAAUUGCACUGCAUUUUAAGACUUUGCCUGCCCAGCCCCCUGCAGCCCCUUCUCAUUUUCCUCCACAUGCACUUCUCCCAAAUAAUCUCUUGAGUGGCAAAUACCAUUCCGGUGUUUGCUGCUCCAAGAGCCCAGAUGUACACAGUGUUCCAAGAGAGGCUGCACAAAUACAGUGGCCCCGAGGAGCUUGGCAUUUUCGAGGAGCAUCAAGGAGGCCAGCGUGGCGUUCAUGGAAAGGACAGAGGGAGAGUGGGAGAUGAGGUCAGAAAUGUACUUGAAGUCCUUGCCGAAGAAAAAUCGUUGACUUGCUUAUUAUAAAACCCUUUUUGUUAAGGAAGAAAUAAAAACUGUUAACCAAUGGCAUCUGUAUCCAUUACAGAAUUUAAAGGCAGGGUAUCAUACAGCCAGUACCUUACAGUCUUCCCAUUAGCAGCAUUCAACACAUCUGUCCAGGUAGUAAACCUAAGUGGCCCAGCUCUGGGCCAUUAAAUUUUGAUGUAACCCAUUAAGGAAACUUACGGCCUUAGUUCAAAGGGCUGUUGCCAUUGUGUCUGUGAGAGCGGUGCUGCAGAGUGCAUUUUAUGCAAAUCUCAUAGAUUUUAAUGAGUGAUCCUGCUUAAUAAGCUAGUUAGACCAUUUGGGCAUUUACUUGAGAGUGACCACAAAUGCCUUUUUCUGAAACCAUUUUACAGUGCUAACAUUUCACUGAAAUAGCACUUAACACGGAGCCAGGCACACAGUGAGCACUAAGAGUGUUACAUGACUGAUGACAGGGAUGAAGAACAGGAGUCUUACCAGGUGUGUCAGUCUCGAUGCUCCUGAAUGACCCAGACAAAAAGGGACUAGAAACUUUCUUUUCAGGAGUUUGUGGCUUAGAUCCCUGUUUCACCACAAAGCAUGAGCUUGACACAGCCUGGACUUGACAGCACUUUCCACAGGGCACUUAAAAAUACUUGUACCUCCUCUCUUUUACCUCCAUAAACCAUGACAGGUCUUUGCUCAGCCUCUGAUAAGCAAAAGAUUAGAAAAUCCCUUUAAACUUCAGAAACAGAGCAAUGCUCAGUCAGGCGAUAAAAGCUGCAGAAAUUGGUCUUGAAUAUUAUCACUGUGUAUCAACUGAAGUCAGAUGAAGAGCUCCACAUUCAUCCAAAGUUCUUUUCAUACUAAUUAGAUGCUCUUCAAAGGUGUAAUUACCAUUUAAAAAUGACUUUGGAGUGCAGGAUACACAAUAGAUUUUUAAUGUCUUUUAAUUUAUUUCGAUGUUUCUCAUAUUUCAUUAGUACGUUCUUAUUUUACCAAUGAGUCACAGGACUUUCAAGGACUUUUCCCUCUCCCACAGUUAAAAUGCUAAGCAGAAGCUAAGCUCACGUGAAAAACUUGUCUCAAUAACCAGAGAAAGACUAUACUAAUUACAAUUUGGAUUGUGUGGAUUAUCAAUUUGUCCGAUACUCCGUUUGCCUCCACCUUGAGGAGAGAACUAUUUCCAGCCCCAGAGUCAAGCUGCCUCAUUGCACGGAAGAGGGAGUAAAAUAAGAAGCCUGGUGAUGUGCUUAUUGUCACAAUUUGUGGUACAGCUGACACUUAGACUACAUCUGCCCUUGAAGCUCAACUUCUUUGCCCUACUCCUGUGGUGUUUCUUGGCAUCUGGUAUCAUUUCAAAAGGAUAAGAAUGGCAUAGAGAAGGUUUCUCAUUGCUAAGCAUGGAGUAGGAAUAUUUUAGUGAAAUGUGUAAGUUUUGGGGCGGAAGUAAAAACACCCCAUCUGCUCUUCCACACUUGGAGAGAGCUGCACACAAAGCAGCAACUUGGCUCUGGGCGGCAGCUGGCUGAGGUCUCAUGGUCUGGAGGACAGCCCCUGGCUUUCACAUCGUCCGUGUCUUGCCAUUUCUCUUUGGAUAAGGCACAAAUGUCUGAAGAUAUCCUCCAGGCCCGAGGACCUGCUCCUAUUCUAUCCAGUCUCGUCUUUCAUGAGCCACUGUGCUUCAGCCACUGCUUUUCCUUCCACCCCUUUGUCUUUCCUUUUUCCCAGGUAUAAGGCCUUUGCACUUUCUAAACCCUCUCCUGCGUCUAGUGGGGACUUGGAGAAUCUUUGUGUCUCCCUAAGGGAUUGUGGAUGUACCAAUCAGCAACCUGUGUCUAGCUCAAGGUUUGUAAAUGCACCAAUCAGUGCUUUGUGUCUAGCUAACCUAGUGGGGACUUGGAGAACUUUUGUGUCUAGCUCAGGGAUUGCAAAUGCACCAAUCAGCACCCUGUCAAAAUGGACCAAUCAGCUCUCUGUAAAAUAGACAAAUCAGCUCUCUGUAAAAUGGACCAAUCAGCAAGGUGUAGGUGGGGCCAGAUAAGGGAAUAAAAGUAGGCUGCCUGAGCCAGCAGUGGUAACCUGCUAGGGUCCCCUUCUGCACUGUGGAAGCUUUGUUGUUUUGCUCUUUGCAAUAAAUCUUGUUUCUGCUCACUCUUUGGGUCCACAUUGCCUUUAUGAGCUCUAACACUCAUCGCGAAGGUCUACAGCUUCAUUCCUGAGCCAGCCAGACCACGAACCCACCAGGAGGAAUGAGCAACUCCAGACAAGAGGAAGGAGCAAACUCCGGACACACCGCCUUUAAGAACUGUAACGCUCACUGCGAGGGUCCGUGGCUUCAUUCUUGGAGUCAGUGAGACCAAGAACUCACCAAUUCCUGACACAAAGAGAGGCCUAAGAAACCAUCUAGGCCAAUGCUAUGGUUUUGGAGUUCAGGACAUUGUGGCUUAGAGACAAUAAUGGAUCUGCCUAAAAUCACAACACAAACUAGUACCAGUUCUUGAAUGAAAAUGUAGGUCUUCUGAUUCCUAGCCAAAUGCUUUUUAUAAGAAUGAAAAUUUUGUGUCCUUGGAAGGCCUAAGGCAUUUUCCCAGAGUAACUUAGAAGAGUCGGGCUCCAUGAAUAAUUUAGUAAUAUAGAAAUAAGAUUUUUUAAAAUGUCUAAAAUUGACUGCAUGACCCUGGAUAUAAAGUAUAAAAGCAGAAGACAGAUGUGAUGUGAGGCUGGCAACAAGUCGUGCCAUGCUCUAUGUACCCACACUAAAAGACAAUAUCCUUUCCACCUUACAUACUUUAUGGCAGUAUAAGCAUGUUAAGUAUGCAAAUCCUACAAUGCUGGCAACAUUUCAAGACUAGUUGUGUCACGGUGUUCAUAAGCCUGGGAGCUCACUAAGCUACAGAGCUCUUAAAACGUAGAAGUAGAAGAGGUAGAAAAAAAAAAGGAAUCACACUCCUUAUUACUGUAAACCAAAGAAAAAAUAUUUACAUUUUCAGCAUUCUGUUGGGUAGGAAAAAAGCUUUUCCUAUCCCAUCUUACAUGUUGUGCUGGAGCCUGUGAAUUAAAUUGAAAAAACAACAGCAACAAAAAUUAACAAGAGGCAAAAGCACACACAUGUAAUUGAUGUUUUCAUGUUACAUGCGUGCUGGCUACACAUAAGAUAAGUGAAAAACUCAAAACACUGGUUAGACUCAGGGGCUUAUAAACGAUGUGUGUAAUUCUGGAAUAAUCCUACUGACCUUGAAGCAGGCCCAAUACUCCCACAGCGUGUUCUUUUGUAUAAACAUAGACAUUGACUCUUCCGCUCUUAAAGCUUGAAACUUGUAUUUGUUUCAUCUGAGUUCUUUCCUCAGGAAAGGACCUUCAGGCCUCUCCAAAAAAAAAAAAAAAAGCAUUAAAGAACUGAAACUCACCAGAUGAGACCUCCUUGUUCCUCCCUAGUUCGUGUUUCCUACACAUUGUUACAUUUCUUGCCUGUUGUAUAAAACCCCAUUUUUAGUCAGUCAGGGCGAUGGAUUUGAGGCUGAGCUCCCAUCUCCUCAGCUGCAGCACCAGAUGAAAGCUUCUUCCCUGGAAACACUCACCAUCUCAGUGAUUGGCUUUCUGUGCAGUGAGCAGCAGGACUUAGACCAAACCCAUGGUGUUUUGGUAACAACCUCACCAAAAUAGAUGGGCACACACACAAGCCUUUAAAGAUACAAAGUUAAACGGAUAGUAUGGAUCAUUCAGUAUAGAGGAAACAGCAUAGCAAAUGUAUAGAGACGGAAAAUUACUAGAUAUGUUCCAGGAGCAACAUGCAAAUUCCACUGCCAGUUUUGGCUGUGAGGUCAAACAGAUCUGAUCUGAAUGUUUGCAUUCCUCCAAAAUUCAUACAUUGAAACCUAAUUCCCAAUGCAAUAACAUUAAGAGGUGGGGUCUCUAGGAGGUGACCAGGUCAUAAGGGUGGACCCUUCAUGAAUGGGUUUAGUACCCUUAUAAAAAUGUCUGAGAGAGCUUGCUUGUUUCUUCUGCCAUAUGAGGACAUAGAGAAAACUCCAUCUAUGAUGAAUGGGCCCUCAGCAGGCACCGAGUCUACUGCUGCCAUAUGAGGACAUACAGAAGAAUCCAUCCAUGAUGCAUGGGCCCUCAGCAGGCACCGAUUCUACUGCUGCCUUGAGCUUGGACCUCUGGCCUCCAGAACUACUAGCAAUACAUUUCUGUUGUUUUAUAAAUUACCUAGUCUAAGGUACAUUGCAGCAGAAAUGGACUGAGAGAGACAUCUUUCAGAGAAUUACCUCUGUUUGUUUGUCUGUUUCUGUUUUGUAAAACUGGAAGAAGAAUAGAACUUACAGUUCUGUGGUAUAAGAUUGUGUCCAGAAUUGGUGGGUUCUUGGUCUCACUGACUUCAAGAAUGAAGCUACAGACCCUCAAGGUGAGUGUUACAGUUCUUAAAGGCGGCGUGUCUGGAGUCUGUUCCUUCUGAUGUUCAGAUGUGUUGGGAGUUUCUUCCUUCUGGUGGGUUUGUGGUCUUGCUGGCUCAGGAGUGAAGCUGCAGACCUUCGCGGUGAGUGUUACAGCUCUUGGGGCAGUGUGUCUAGAGUUGUUCGUUCCUCCUGGUGGGCUCCUGGUAUCGCUGGCUUCAGGAGUGAAGCUGCAGACCUUCACGGUGAGUGUUACAGCUCAUAAAGGUAGUGUGGACCCAAAGAGUGAGCAGUAGCAAGCUUUAUUGCAAAGAGCAAAAGAACAAAGCUUCCACAGUGUGGAAGGGGACCCCAGCAGAUUGAAGCUUCUGGCUCGGGUAGCCUGCUUUUAUUCUCUUAUCUGGCCCCACCCACAUCCUGCUGAUUGGUCCAUUUUACAGAGAGCCGAUUGGUCUGUUUCACAAAGAGCUGAUUGGUCAGUUUUGACAGGGUGCUGAUUGGUUCGUUUACAAUCCCUGAGCUAGACACAAAAGUUCUCCACAUCCCCACUAGAUUAGCUAGAUAGAGUGUCGAUUGGUGUAUUUACAAACCCUGAGCUAGACAGAGUGCUGAUUGGUGCAUUUACAAACCUUGAGCUAGAUACAGCGUGUCAAUUGUUGCAUUCACAAUCCCUUAGCUAGACAUAAAGGUUCUCCAAGUCCUCACCAGAUUAACUAGAUACAGAGUGCUGAUUGGUGCAUUCACAAACCCUGAGCUAGACGCAGGGUGCUGAUUGGUGUGUUUACAAACCUUGAGCUAGAUACAGAGUGCUGAUUGGUGUAUUUACAAUCACUUAGCUAGACAUAAAGAUUCUCCAAGUCCCCACCAGACUCAGGAGCACAGCUGGCUUCACCCAGUGGAUCCUGCACCAGGGCCGCAGGUGGAGCUGCCCGCCACUUCCGCACUAUGAGCCCGCACUCCUCAGCCCUUGGGCGGUCGAUGGGACUAGGCACAGCCCUGGAGCAGGGAGCGCCCCUUGUCGGGGAGGCUCGGGCUGCACAGGAGCCCAUGUGGGGGUGCGGCGGGGGAGGCAGGCUCAGGCAUGGUGGGCUGCAGGUCCCAAGCCCUGCCCUGCCGGAGGCAGCUAAGGCCCAGCAAGAAGUCGAGCACAGCAGCUGGUGGCCCA
RNAcentral lists this long non-coding RNA (7996 nucleotides) under Homo sapiens (human). RNAcentral's name for it is "HSALNT0082801". Lineage: Eukaryota; Metazoa; Chordata; Mammalia; Primates; Hominidae. The record is from RNAcentral.